RNAcentral lists this ribosomal RNA (381 nucleotides) under Pinna nobilis. RNAcentral's name for it is "partial 16S ribosomal RNA". It matches the Rfam family "Bacterial large subunit ribosomal RNA", at positions 1967 to 2574 of the family's 2925-position model. The record is from RNAcentral. Lineage: Eukaryota; Metazoa; Mollusca; Bivalvia; Pterioida; Pinnidae.
CCUAGCCUUUUAAUUGGAGGCCUGCAUGAAUGGCUUGACGAGCGCCCUGCUGUCUCUCUUCCCAUGAACUUUUAAAUUAACUUUCGCGUGCAAAGGCGCGAAUGGCUGAGUUAGACGAAAAGACCCUAUGCAUCUUUACUGAGAGAGAAGAAAGUUCUUUAGCUUGGUUUAGCUGGGGCAGCUGAGGAAAAGGCAAAAUUUCCUUAAUAUAAAUCAUACUGGUGGGUUUAGAUCCAGGCUCUUUAGCGGGCUUGACAAGUAGAAAAGUUACGCUAGGGAUAACAGCGUUAUCCUUCUGUGGAGGUCUUAUCUGCAGGAGGGAUUGCGACCUCGAUGUUGAAUUAGGGAUAUACCAGAAAGGCGCAGAAGCUUUUAUUGUGG